UACGAAGGGUGCUAGCGUUGUUCGGAAUCACUGGGCGUAAAGCGCGCGUAGGUGGCUUGUCACGUCUGCCGUGAAAGCCCAUGGCUUAACUGUGGGUCUGCGGUGGAUACGGGCUGGCUAGAGGUAGGUAGGGGCAAGCGGAAUUCCUGGUGUAGCGGUGAAAUGCGCAGAUAUCAGGAGGAACACCGGUGGCGAAGGCGGGUCUCUGGGCAGUAACUGACGCUGAGGAGCGAAAGCGUGGGGAGCGAACAGG
RNAcentral lists this ribosomal RNA (253 nucleotides) under uncultured bacterium. RNAcentral describes it as "partial 16S ribosomal RNA". It matches the Rfam family "Bacterial small subunit ribosomal RNA", at positions 524 to 776 of the family's 1533-position model. The record is from RNAcentral.